AGAGCAGCAGGGUUCCUUCAUUGUCAGUGCUUUUUCUUUCCCAACUUCCCCCAAUGUGUUUUUUUUUGUUUUUUUGUUUUUUUUAAAAUAAAACUUUGGCUAACCUGGCAAUCUAUGAAAGAGGGGUUCCACUAAGUGAUUUAAACAUGAUUUGAUUCUCUUUGUCCUGUUGCUCUUUCGCUUCAAUGGGACAUGGAUCAGGAAAUUAUUUCUAGGUGUUUAUAUGAGGAAAGAGGAAAAGCUGCUGAGAGUUAAUCUUUUAGACAAUCCAACAGAAUCUGAAAUAUCAAAAACUAUCCUUCCAAAAGAAAACUAUCAACUCUUUCAACAUUUUUUGAAUCUUUCUUUGAAGCUUUAGCCAAAUAGAAGAUAAAUGUAAAAGACCCAAGUGACCACCUGGUAAUUACUUCAACAGCAGAGCGACUCAUACAGCCAGCAAUCCACUUUGUUGUGAUCUGUAGAUCCUGCCUGUGGUGUUGGAUCUAACAGCUUCUUCCCUGACCCAAGAUUAUGAAGGAUUUCUCCUGUGUUCUCUUCUAAAAAUUUUACAUUUAGGUAUAUAAUCCAUUUUGAGCUAAUUCUUUUAAAUAGUGCAAAGUAUGGAUUGAAGUUCUUUUUUUUUUUUUUGCAGAUACAUAUUUAAUUUUUCCAGCACCAUUUGUUGAAAAGACUAAUGUUCUUGCCUGAAUAGCCUUUGCAUUGUUGUUGAAAAUCAUGUUCACACAUGUACACAUUCCACUGAACUAUUUGCCUCUUUGUGAAAAUACUACUAUUUUGAUUAAUAUAGAUUUAUAGGGAGUCUUAAAAUCAUAUCUUAAAAAGAUAGUGGAAGUUAUUUAACCUUACUCUUGUUUUUAGAAAUUGUUUUGGAUAAUCUAGAUCUUUUGCGUUUCCAUAUAAAUUUUAUAAUCAGUUUGGCAAUUUAUUUAAAAUAUUCUUCUGGGAUUUUGAUGGACAUUAUGCUGAAUCGAUGGAUCGCUUUGGGGAGAACUGACAUCUUAACAAUAUUGAGUCAUCUAACAUAUGAUCAUGGAAAUUGCUCCAGUUAUUUAGAUCUUUCACAUCUUGAAGCAGUGUUUUACAGUUUUCAGUGUAUAGAUAGUUAAUAGAUUUAAAAAUAUGAUCCCUAAAUAUUCAAUGUUUUUGAUGCUAUUGGAAUUUUAAAAAAUUAAUUUCUGUUCUGAGGAAGGAAAAUAAUAAAAGAUUAAACAAGAAAAAUAAAAGAAUCAAAAUAAAAGAUAAAUCAUUGACAAAUAUAAAAAAAUAACAAAAAUAA
This 1276-nucleotide long non-coding RNA is filed under the name Pongo abelii (Sumatran orangutan). Its description in RNAcentral is "lincRNA". The record is from RNAcentral. Lineage: Eukaryota; Metazoa; Chordata; Mammalia; Primates; Hominidae.